Molecule: ribosomal RNA, 440 nt
Filed under: uncultured bacterium
Lineage: Bacteria
Description: partial 16S ribosomal RNA
Rfam family: Bacterial small subunit ribosomal RNA
Source: RNAcentral
CCUACGGGAGGCAGCAGUGGGGGAUAUUGCACAAUGGGGGGAACCCUGAUGCAGCGACGCCGCGUGGGUGAAGAAGCGCCUCGGCGCGUAAAGCUCUGUUAGCAGGGAAGAAAAUGACGGUACCUGAAGAAGAAGCACUGGCUAACUACGUGACAGCAGCCGCGGUAAUACGUAGGGGGCAAGCGUUAUCCGGAUUUACUGGGUGGAAAGGGGGCGCAGACGGCGAUGCAAGCCAGGAGGGAAAGCCCGGGGCCCAACCCCGGGACUGCUCUUGGAACUGCGUGGCUGGAGUGCAGGAGGGGCAGGCGGAAUUCCUGGUGUAGCGGUGAAAUGCGUAGAUAUCAGGAGGAACACCGGUGGCGAAGGCGGCCUGCUGGACUGCAACUGACGUUGAGGCCCGAAAGCGUGGGGAGCAAACAGGAUUAGAUACCCCUGUAGUC